UACGUAGGGGGCAAGCGUUGUCCGGAAUCAUUGGGCGUAAAGCGCGUGUAGGCGGCCCGGUAAGUCCGCUGUGAAAGUCCAGGGCUCAACCCUGGAAUGCCGGUGGAUACUGUCGGGCUCGAGUCCGGAAGAGGCGAGUGGAAUUCCCGGUGUAGCGGUGAAAUGCGCAGAUAUCGGGAGGAACACCAAUGGCGAAGGCAGCUCGCUGGGACGUGACUGACGCUGAGACGCGAAAGCGUGGGGAGCAAACGGG
This 253-nucleotide ribosomal RNA is filed under the name uncultured bacterium. Its description in RNAcentral is "partial 16S ribosomal RNA". It matches the Rfam family "Bacterial small subunit ribosomal RNA", at positions 524 to 776 of the family's 1533-position model. The record is from RNAcentral.